UCAUUAUUUUAGGGGAAUCCAAGAUAUGUUACUAUUUAUCUUCAAGGAGUUCAAUCUCACCAGCAAGCCACUGUUUAGGGGGCAUCUUCAGAUCUGAAAUGCCAAGAGAUAUAAUGAGCAUUGAUGGUAGCCAAUAACAACUCUGGCUCAUUCAAGAGGAUCGAGCAUGUACUCUGA
Molecule: long non-coding RNA, 177 nt
Organism: Tupaia belangeri chinensis (Chinese tree shrew)
Lineage: Eukaryota; Metazoa; Chordata; Mammalia; Scandentia; Tupaiidae
Exons: 3
Source: RefSeq, a predicted model, not a curated record